RNAcentral lists this unclassified non-coding RNA (205 nucleotides) under plant metagenome. RNAcentral's name for it is "partial contains small subunit ribosomal RNA and internal transcribed spacer 1". The stretch from base 1 to 46 matches the Rfam family "Eukaryotic small subunit ribosomal RNA", at positions 1786 to 1831 of the family's 1831-position model. The record is from RNAcentral.
AAGUCGUAACAAGGUUUCCGUAGGUGAACCUGCGGAAGGAUCACCAAAGAGAACUUGCCCUUCGGGGUAGAUCUCCCACCCUUUAUUUAUCACACUUUGUUGCUUUGGCGGGCCUGCCUCACGGCUGCCGGCGUAAGCUGGCUCGCGCCCGCCAGAGACCCCAAACUCUGAAUAUUGUCGUCUGAGUAAUAUAUAAUAAGUUAAA